RNAcentral lists this long non-coding RNA (2107 nucleotides) under Sus scrofa (pig). RNAcentral's name for it is "lncRNA (ENSSSCG00060044673.1)". Lineage: Eukaryota; Metazoa; Chordata; Mammalia; Artiodactyla; Suidae. The record is from RNAcentral.
GUGUCUUGCUCACUCAGACAGCAAGGAGAAAGUAUAACACAUUAGCAAACACAGUAGCAUAUUAGAUCAUAAAGUGCUGUGCAAAAAAUGAAAAUGCAGGAGUUCCUGUCGUGGCUCAGCGCAAACGAAUCUGACUAGUAUCCAUGAGGACGCAGGUUCGAUCCGUGGCCUGGCUCAUUGGGUUAAGGAUCUGGCAUUGCCCUUAGCUGUGGAAUAGGCUACAGAUGUGGCUCGGAUGUGGCAUUGCUUUGGCUCUGGUGUAGGCCAGCAGCUACAGUUCUGAUUCAACCCCUAGCCUGGGAACCCAAAUAUGCCAAGGAUGUGGUGCUAAAGACAAAAAAAAAAAAAAAAAUGAAAAUGCAGAGCACAGUAAGAGGGGCUAGGAGAGUGGAAGGAGGUGUGAGAGAGGAGGGGUUAAAAUUUAAUGGGCGUGGUCAGACCAGGCAUUGCAGAGAAGUCAACCUUUGAAUAAGAACUUGCAAGAAGUGAGGGUGUUAUCCACACAGAUCAGCAGUGGAGGGACAUUGCAGGGGCAGAGAAUAGUGUAAAAGUACAAGAGCAGAAGUACGGCCACUGCUAUGGACUGAAUGGCGACCUCCAAACCCAUAUGUUAAUGCCCUAACUCCCAACGUGACUGUAUCUGGAUAGGGCCUUUGAGGAAGUAAUUAAAGUCAAAUAAGUUCAUAAAGGUGGACCUUGAUCCCAUAUAACUGAUAUGCUUAUAAGAAGAGGAAGAAUGUACAGCACAGGAAACUAUAUCCAAUCUCUCUUGGGAUAGACCAUGAUGGAAGAUAAUCCCAAGCAGACUAAUACAUCUGGUAUUGGAAAACUGGGAAGAAAGCCAGUGUAACCUGGGGCAAGUUGAGUGAUGAGGAUUGUGGUGGAUGAUGAGUGAUUUUUAUACAGCUGCUCUAUGCCAGUCACAUGGGUGCCAAGAACAUAAAGAUGGAGAAAAGAACCACGACACCAAGGGACAGAGAAGAGAAAAAAAUGUAAGUUGCAUUUAUCAAGCUUCUUGUUCUCACCCCUUCCCCAAGCCCACCUGCAUUCUUGACUUUGGGAGGCACUGUAGUACUUGAUUCUUCCCAUAAGGUGACUUCUGGAUUCUGUUUGAAAGCCAAAGCCACCUGCUCUCUUCCCUCCAUCUGGAACAUACAUUUCCCAACUUUUUGCACUGCUGGCUCUUUCUUUAACUCAUCUUUUAAAAUGUUGUCUUUAAAAUUUCCCUUUGUGGCUUAGUGGGUUAUAAACCCAACUACUAUCCAUGAGGAUGUGGGUUCAAUCCCUGGCCUCACUCAGUGGGUUAAGGAUUGGGCAUUGCCCUUAGCUGUGGUGUAGGUCAUAGAUGUGGCUUGGAUCUGGCGUUGCUGUGGCUGUGGCCUGCAGCUGCAGCUCCAAUUCAACCCCUAGCCUGGGAACUUCCAUAUUCCACAGGUGUGGCCGUAAAAAGCAAAAUUAAAUUAAAUUAAAUUAAGUCUUAUCUUUCAUCCACCGUCUACAUGGAAUUAUUGGAACACUUUUAAGGAUGUAACACUAUUAAGUGAAUAACUAAAUGAAAAGAAACCUAAUACUGUUUCUGAUCCUCAUUUUCCCCAACUGUGAAAUGGAAAAACAGAAGGGUAUUUUCACAAGGUGACUGUGGAGAUGGAAGCAAAAUAGGGAGAGGAGGGUUCCUGGUACACAGGGUCCACUGGGUGUAUGGUAGCCACUCUGGGCAGUGGUGGUGCAACUGUAGCUUCAGCAUCUCCGAUAAUGGGCAUGUGAUUUCCACCUCAGGUUGUCCCAUUUCUAUGUUUUGACUCAAAAACCCCAGUGGGGCAGGACUAUGGAAAAGGAUACAUCUGAAAUUAGAUUUGCCACUACGAUUCCCAAAUCAGAAUCCAUUUUCAUGUAAUGUGUCUCUCUGCCAUGAGCAGUGCAGCUGUGCUGAGGAUUAAAUGAGGAGGACAGAUCUGUCUUCUAAAGGAGGGCGAAUUUCCUGGACUGGUCUGUCAAGAUAUUUGCUUUCCCACCAUUUGUCUGGGUUGGAUCCCAGAUGCCCCUCACACUGGCCUCCUCCCUCACAAUAACCAGAGAUCAUAUUAAGCAUCAACUCAUGGAACUGAGA